GCACUCCAGCUGGCCCAGUUGGUGUGUGCGUGGUACUUAUAAGUAGUGUAGGAGUAUAUGCGAAGGUGGAGGGUUCGAUCCCCUCCGAGAGCA
Non-coding RNA from Paramuricea clavata, 93 nucleotides. Lineage: Eukaryota; Metazoa; Cnidaria; Anthozoa; Malacalcyonacea; Plexauridae. The record is from the annotation of a GenBank genome assembly.